UUUGUAAGUGGUGACCUUAGCUUAGCUCAUACUUACAUAAGCAUAUUCACUCAAUGCACAAAUGCACUUUUUCCUGCCCCACUGUGUUUACGCCAACACUAUUGUUCUUUUCUGUCCUUGCAGAUUUUGCAGUGUCAAGGAUUGAGGUGCGGGACAGAAGAGAGCCACGAUACGGAGUACAGCGUCUUCACUGAGGGCACUGGACAACUUCUCUUUCUCUGUUCUUCUCUUUCUGCCCUUCUCUUCUUCUCUUCUCUUGUCUCUCCUCUCCAAUGAUCAGGAUAUCACCCAAUCUCAAUGCAGACACCAAGUGUACAGGAUUCUGUAAGAUAAAAAACAACAACAACAACAACAACCAACCACACUGGGAUAAACUAUAUUUUGGAAAAAAAAAAUUAUACAAGGUUGUACAGUGCAUUUAACACUUUCUCAAUGAAUACCUUUAUGAUGUAAAAAAGAAAAAAAAAAGAAAAAAAACUUUACUGUAUUUAAAGUCUUGAUUUUUUGGUGAAAAGUUCAAUCCUUAAGAUGAAGAACCAUAAUGCCCAUUUAUGAUUUUACUGUGGUUAAUUUGACUUAUUGCUAUUUACCAAUGUUGAGUUUGUGUGUUGUGUCCAUUCAUAGCUUUCAGAGAGCACAUUCUCAAUACUCCUCACACACUGGUAGAGUGGAGACUCGCAAUAUGGCAGCAAGUCCAUUAUUAAAUAUUUAAAACACUUCAACAGGGACUCGUAUGGCUCUUCAUCUAAGGACUUUAAAAUGUGAGAAAUUUAGAGGAGUACCCCAUUGCAGCUUUACAGAACCUAACAUCUCUGGGAGAUUCUCUACUGUACAUACUUAACGAUGUAUAUAACAUUACUGCUGACAACAACAGCCGACAACAAAACCUCAUCUGACUCUAAUGCAUUUGCGUAUAGUAUUUCUACCCUUGGUUUCAGUGUUCCUCGUGCUGGAAGAGCAUCAGAGUAUGUGCAAAUUCAUUGUGUUUCUUUGACUCCUCCCUUCUGAAGCUACAGAUGGGCUUAAAAAACGGAUUCCUGAGCUAAAUAUUCACCAGAGAAGCAGAGCAACGUGAAUCAAAGUGAUCAUGUAUGGUCACUUUGAUUUCUUUUUUAAUGGCACAGGAAAUGAGACACAUCCCUUGCAUUAGCAUGGCCUCAACAGAAGCCCCUUGUUGUAGUAUGUCCCCAUUGAGUAUGGUGUACAUUUUAAGCUGUUUAACUUAACAGCAGCUGUCUAUUCAGAGUUAAUCUUUUUUUUUUCUCCUCGCGCUAUCCCACGAUCCCCUUCUCCAGUGUGCAGUUUACUCCAGUUUAUGGCUCCAGCAUACAGUGAUGAGUUUACUCUACAGAUGUCUUAAGGCUGCAUGAAUAUGACUGUAGGACUGCUGGCCCCAUGUGGUGCAAUGUUAAAAAGGUGAUGUCACUUAUAUGCCUCUUUUAAUAAACAACACUGUUUUGUAGUAGCCAUAGGACCGAUAGGAGGGUCACAAUCCCAGCAAAAAAAAAUAAACAAAUGAAUAAAAGAAAAAGACUUUAAAGAGUACUAAAACACUUCAGACCAUUAAGUCUUAACAGGGCUGUUAGACAGCAAAGAUUUAAAACUCUUGUCAUUCUGGGAAGGGCUGCAUCCAGGAUUUUCGUAGUAGAGAGUUUACAAUUAAAAUCCCACCAAGGCACUUCCUGUUCUUCCAUAAAAUAUUGGCCAAAUUCAAACAUAACAUAUGUUUGUCCAUGCAUCUGAGAAAAUAUGGAGAGCUUAUCUUAUGAGAGAAAAAAUCAUCUACAGUUAAAUCUUACUUUGAUAUGGCAGCAACAAUUUAGAACUGGCAAGAAAAUCAUCAAGAUUUCUUAAAUAAUUCUAAUAAAUCGUAAUUCUGCUAAGCAAAAAAAAGGCUAAUUUGUUUUUUUUGAAAAAACAAAUAUUGAAAUUUAAGCAUAUGUAGGACAGAUGUUGCCUUUGCCCUGUUCUCUGAAGUAGAAUGAUGACUGCUUGAGACAGUAGAUCACAUUUAUAAGAUGAAAGCUCCAGUUUUUUGAUUUUUUUUAUGGAUGCUGUGCCCUUCUGUAAUAAUGGCCCUCACGCAAGGAACUUUUAUAGUAGAGUCCCUGUGGUCUCUAAGAAGAAUCUGUGCGGGUCCCUGUGGGCAAGUGCAAGACAAGCAAACUAAUACCAUGUUUGUAAAUUUAAUAACAAGAUGUGUGUUCAGUCUGCUGUCUAUAAAUGAUUCUUGCUGAGGCCCUUUGAGAACAGUCAUAUUGGGAUCAGCAAAUUAGUUACAAUGUUACAAUGAUCACUAUUCCGAGCUCCACUGUCCAAAAAGAAAGUAUUGUCCAUGUAACAUUGUUACCGUGACGUGUCACCAACCCCACCCUGAUUUUGUCCCUCCAACAGAGUAACUUGAUGUAGCACUAGACACGCAAGUGUCAUUGGUUGUUAUCCAUGGUGACACAUGUAUGACAGUGAUCAUUGCUACACCAGCAACUUAAAAACUAUCAUGUGUAUAGCGAUGAAUCCUUUGCCAAUUUUUGUGAUAACCGAGGAAGUCUGUAGUCUCCUGAUUUUAAAGACAUGAAUCUGUUUCAUCUGCAAGAGCAUUCAGUACUCGGGUUUGAGCUGUUGAGUUGUGACUCACAACUGUACCCGUGUGCGCUGUUAUAGCUUCCACAAGCUAUAGCCAAUUGAUUUGUCUGCAUCAGUGACACCGAUUGUCAUGAUACCAGCGACAAGUGGGAUUCUAGCGUGACAAGCUGCAGUUGCAACGAAUGAUAAAGCAAGCUGCUGUAAUCCAAGGCACCGUGGGGCUCUUAUCCCUCUCAGAGCAGCACUUGAGGCUGACAUACUGUAAAUGAACCUCGUAAAGCCUGGCUCAAGUCACGACAAGAAUAGAAUUAGCUCUGCACAUGGGUAAUUGUUUCAGAUGAGAUAUUGGCACGCUUUGCCCUUUUAAGAUCAUAAUGUAAACCCCACGAAGUAACUGAUUCUAUUUGAGGGAGCAAUUCAUCCACCACAAGGCCAAAGUACAGCCUAGUGAGGGGCACAUUAUACUGUAUUAUAGUUAAUUAGAAUUCAUGUUAUGCUCUGUUAGGGAUGCAUUGCUAACACAAUCACUGUGGACCAGUAAAAGAAUGCGAUUCAAAAAUCAGACUAUGCCAUUACAGCUAAGAAUUUUAAUUAAACUAUCACAAUUGUGGAAUGAGUUACGGGAAGAUGCCCAAUAUGGGUUUGAGAUCAGCUCAAUAGGUUAUCCUGGGUAUGUUAUCACUAUAUAAUGAGCAGAUAGCUAGACUGUAGUGUUUUUUGUUAGAAUGGUAGCUAGCUAACUCUCAGGAAGCUGUGUACACAGUACUGUAUUAAAGGCUCAAGUGGAAACGAUCAAACACAAGCAAGUCAAAUAUGCGAUUAAAGUCUUUUCAUUGAUGGACUUAAGAUGAGGUCAAAGUUUAAAUGACGCAUUGCUCAGCUGCAUCCCUUGUUAGUAGAGUUUAAAGUAGAAUAGUGCCGGUUUUCCAAGCUGGGCCUUUAAGACAAUAUGACAACAGCCCUUAUGCUGAUUCUAAUGAUGCUGUCCACGCAGGCUCUGCACAGACCCUUUGGCCUAUAUUGAUCACCCACCCGGGCUAGAAGUGCUGGGCCCUCAUUCAAGAAACGUUUCUUUCACUUUAACCAUGAAGUAACUGUACGAGAAAAAGAAAAAAAAAACAAUGCAAAUGAUUGAAAGAGACCUCAUUCAUUUGGUAUAGCAAAACAUAUAUGUUUGCUUUUUAUAUGUGUGUGAUCAUUUGAGAGAACCAGAAUGCUUUUUUUGUAUCUAAAGUUUGCAUAAAGCAGGCAGUAAUGUCUCUCAUGCAGUAUAUAUUGGGAUUUAAAUAUCUCCUAUAGCGUGCAUCUCUCAUUUGGGAAUACUUUCACAGGCCCAGGAUGUAUGUAACGACAAAUCUACAUAAAGAAAAAGAGCACGGGAAGAAAAAAAAAACCCUGAGGCCUAAAUGGUCGAGUCAGGCUUCCAAGCAUCAUUACCUGCGUGAUCAAUGGUCUGGUCUCUUCUCCGGAUACUCUGUUCCUGAGAACUUGACAAUGAACUGAAAAUAUACCUUAACAAGGAACUGACAAUACCUUAACCUUGAUGAGCACAUAUUUGUACCACUUCAGGUGCCUCUAAGAACUCUUGAUUUAAUUCAGAUGUGGUGCAGAACCAGCAAAACAAGUAGUGACACUGUAGUUUUUUCUACUGAAGACUACAUACUCAGACUGAGCUCUGAAGUUAGGUGGGUUUUAUUGCAGAUUUGAGAUCAAUUCAGUUUCAAGUCAAAGAAUUAUAGCUAAAAUAAUAUUGGCUAGUUUUCCCCAGUUAUUUACCUUGCUUUGGGGAAACAUUUUGAUAUUUAAAAAUUUGUUGUUGUUGUUUUUUUGUUUUGUUUGGUUGGUUGGUUUUUUCCAAUGUGCGAUUGGACUGAAUUCACCUCAGUCUUCGAUUACAUCAUCUAAAGACAUGAAAAAGAAUGAAAAGCUAAUAAAAGAGUCAAUGACAAGUCAUUUCCAAUCUCUGGCCACAAAUGAAAGCUUUGUGGAUUAUGUAAAUGCCAUUUCUAUGUCAAUGAUUUCAUCAUCUUUUUAUCAUGUAACAUCAUGUAUAAAGACAUCGUGUUUGGG
Molecule: long non-coding RNA, 4653 nt
Organism: Astatotilapia calliptera (eastern happy)
Lineage: Eukaryota; Metazoa; Chordata; Actinopteri; Cichliformes; Cichlidae
Source: Ensembl